UUUAUACCAUUUGGCCCUACCCGAGUACACUGCUCUCCAAAAAAAACCCUAGAAUAAGUGCAUUGCGUAAUUCGCGUUCUUUCCAUUAUUACUACCCCUAGACACAAUGUUUAUAUAUACUCUCAUACUUCCCUCAGUUCUCAUCAGCCAGCAGUCUACCUCGGCAGCAGUGGCCGAGCUGCUCCUCUCCAAGAAGAUCGUGAAACAGAGAUCAAGAAAUUCUAGUCACCAUUCAAUGAUCAACAGAUUAUUGUAAUUGUAUGAUUUUUCUUCAAUGUUUUGCUUAUGAUUAUCGAAUUUGCUUUUACAAGGAUGUGAUGAUAGUAUUGUCGCCCCAGUCUUACUUUGCACCAAAGUCAUGUAUAAUCACAUAUUGCUCCAAGUUAUGAUGCAGCUGUCCACUUAUUCUUUACACCAAAAUUGCUUUUUUUUCUUUUAACAAGUAGUAAAUGAUACCAAGGAGUGUAUCAUUUGUUAGUUACUCACUUUGACUCUUUCUAGAUGAUAUUAUAAUGGUAAUGAGAAUAUUAUUGAGAGAAGUUAAUCACUCGUAUUAAAACAAGAUUUCAUCCUUGGAUCGGACUUACCCACAACCUCAUACGUUGGAUGUUUGGGAUGAUCUAAUCCUUGAUAAUUUCAAUCCACUUCAGUUGGCUACCUUCAGUGGUCAGAGUGAUCCUGAAGAGCAUUUCAUAAUGGUUAACAUGGAGGUGAUUGUCUAAGAAAAUGGUACAUCAUUCUUUCAACAACCACAGAAAAAUGUUCCCACAAGUAUUUUCAAUGUUUGAUAGGGACAGUCAAAAGCUUAUUAUUGUAGAAGCAUUAGAUUUUUUGUUUAUUUUCAAUGAUACUGUCAAAUAGAGUUACAAGUAUUCUUCAUUGACUGUCAGUUUCUUAUUAAUUUUUCAGAGUUACUCUCUUCUCUUUUAA
Molecule: long non-coding RNA, 930 nt
Organism: Lathyrus oleraceus (garden pea)
Lineage: Eukaryota; Viridiplantae; Streptophyta; Magnoliopsida; Fabales; Fabaceae
Exons: 2
Source: RefSeq, a predicted model, not a curated record